Molecule: unclassified non-coding RNA, 275 nt
Filed under: uncultured fungus
Lineage: Eukaryota; Fungi
Description: partial contains small subunit ribosomal RNA, internal transcribed spacer 1, and 5.8S ribosomal RNA
Rfam family: Eukaryotic small subunit ribosomal RNA (bases 1-73)
Source: RNAcentral
UCAAACUUGGUCAUUUAGAGGAAGUAAAAGUCGUAACAAGGUUUCCGUAGGUGAACCUGCGGAAGGAUCAUUACCGAGAAGCGUGGCCCCUGGCACGAUCUCACAACCACUGUGUACCAAACCUUCGUUGCCUCGGCGGGCCCGGCCAGCCCGCCGCAGGGACCCUCCAGACCGUUUCCGUAUGAUGAACGUCCGAUUGGAAUCGCAUGCAAACGCGAAUGAAAACAACUUUCAACAAUGGAUCUCUUGGCUCCGGCAUCGAUGAAGAACGCAGC